CGGGGAAUAUUGGGCAAUGGGGGCAACCCUGACUCAGCGACGCCGCGUGGGGGAAGACGGCCUUCGGGUUGUAAACCUCUUUUGUACGGGAAGAAGGAAGUGACGGUACUGUACGAAUAAGUCCCGGCUAACUACGUGCCAGCAGCCGCGGUAAUACGUAGGGGACGAGCGUUGUCCGGAAUUACUGGGCGUAAAGGGCGCGCAGGCUGUGCUGCAAGUCAGCUGUUAAAUGUCUGGGCUUAACCCGGGCAUGCGGUUGAGACUGCAGUGCUGGAGUGCUGUAGAGGCAAGUGGAAUUCGCAGUGUAGCGGUGAAAUGCGUAGAUAUUGGGAAGAACACCGGUGGCGAAGGCGACUUGCUGGGCAGCAACUGACGCGGAGGCGCGAAAGCCAGGGGAGCAAACG
RNAcentral lists this ribosomal RNA (404 nucleotides) under uncultured bacterium. RNAcentral's name for it is "bacterial SSU rRNA". It matches the Rfam family "Bacterial small subunit ribosomal RNA", at positions 355 to 774 of the family's 1533-position model. The record is from RNAcentral.